CGACGGGUGAGUAACACGUGAGUAAUCUGCCUUCAGCUCUGGGAUAGCUCCGGGAAACCGGGAUUAAUACCGGAUAUGACCACUUCGGACAUCUGUUGUGGUGGAAAGUUUUUCGGCUGGAGAUGAGCUCGCGGCCUAUCAGCUUGUUGGUGGGGUAACGGCCUACCAAGGCGACGACGGGUAGCCGGCCUGAGAGGGCGACCGGCCACACUGGGACUGAGACACGGCCCAG
RNAcentral lists this ribosomal RNA (232 nucleotides) under uncultured bacterium. RNAcentral describes it as "partial 16S ribosomal RNA". It matches the Rfam family "Bacterial small subunit ribosomal RNA", at positions 102 to 334 of the family's 1533-position model. The record is from RNAcentral.